GAUGAAGAACGUAGCGAAAUGCGAUAAGUAAUGUGAAUUGCAGAAUUCAGUGAAUCAUCGAAUCUUUGAACGCACAUUGCGCCCGCCAGUACUCUGGCGGGCAUGCCUGUUCGAGCGUCAUUUCGGCCAUCGAGCCCCCGGGCUUGUGUUGGGGACCUGCGGCCGCCCGCAGGCCCUGAAAACCAGUGGCGGGCUCGCUAGUCACACCGAGCGUAGUAGCAUCUAUCUCGCUCAGGGCGUGCGGCGGGCGCCGGCCGUUAAAGGACGAUUGGGAACUUACCCCCCAAAGGUUGACCUCGGAUCAGGCAGGAAUACCCGCUGAACUUAAGCAUAUCAAUAAGCGGAGGA
RNAcentral lists this unclassified non-coding RNA (348 nucleotides) under soil metagenome. RNAcentral describes it as "partial contains 5.8S ribosomal RNA, internal transcribed spacer 2, and large subunit ribosomal RNA". The stretch from base 1 to 120 matches the Rfam family "5.8S ribosomal RNA", at positions 35 to 154 of the family's 154-position model. The record is from RNAcentral.